This 460-nucleotide ribosomal RNA is filed under the name uncultured bacterium. RNAcentral's name for it is "partial 16S ribosomal RNA". It matches the Rfam family "Bacterial small subunit ribosomal RNA", at positions 338 to 795 of the family's 1533-position model. The record is from RNAcentral.
CCUACGGGAGGCAGCAGUGAGGAAUAUUGGUCAAUGGGCGGAAGCCUGAACCAGCCAAGUCGCGUGAGGGAUUAAGGCCCUGCGGGUCGUAAACCUCUUUUGCCGGGGAGCAGAGGUCCGGACGUGUCCGGGCCGGGAGAGUACCCGGAGAAAAAGCAUCGGCUAAAUCCGUGCCAGCAGCCGCGGUAAUACGGAGGAUGCGAGCGUUAUCCGGAUUGAUUGGGUUUAAAGGGUGCGUAGGAGGGCAUUAAAGCCGGCGGUAAAGUGGCGGGGCUCAACCCCGGCCUGCCGUCGGCACUGGGUGCCUUGAGUGGGCGAGAAGUAUGCGGAAUGCGUGGUGUAGCGGUGAAAUGCAUAGAUAUCACGCAGAACCCCGAUUGCGAAGGCAGCAUACCGGCGCCCUACUGACGCUGAGGCACGAAAGUGCGGGUAUCGAACAGGAUUAGAUACCCUUGUAGUC